CCUACGGGUGGCAGCAGUGAGGAAUAUUGGUCAAUGGACGAGAGUCUGAACCAGCCAAGUAGCGUGAAGGAUGACUGCCCUAUGGGUUGUAAACUUCUUUUAUAUGGGAAUAAAAUGUUCCACGUGUGGGAUUUUGUAUGUACCAUAUGAAUAAGGAUCGGCUAACUCCGUGCCAGCAGCCGCGGUAAUACGGAGGAUCCGAGAGUUAUCCGGAUUUAUUGGGUUUAAAGGGAGCGUAGGUGGAUUGUUAAGUCAGUUGUGAAAGUUUGCGGCUCAACCGUAAAAUUGCAGUUGAAACUGGCAGUCUUGAGUACAGUAGAGGUGGGCGGAAUUCGUGGUGGAGCGGUGAAAUGCUUAGAUAUCACGAAGAACUCCGAUUGCGAAGGCAGUUCACUGGACUGCAACUGACACUGAGGCUCGAAAGUGUGGGUAUCAAACAGGAUUAGAUACCCGAGUAGUC
This 460-nucleotide ribosomal RNA is filed under the name uncultured bacterium. RNAcentral's name for it is "partial 16S ribosomal RNA". It matches the Rfam family "Bacterial small subunit ribosomal RNA", at positions 338 to 795 of the family's 1533-position model. The record is from RNAcentral.